CACUCUCUCUCUCUGACUUAAUGCUGCUCAUUGAAUGAAAUGCAAAAUGGGAUUUUACUUGGGUCUAGAAAGGAGAACCUGUGUUUUCCUGGAGGUGAAUUUCUUAUUGUCACUUAACUAUUAAUCCUGAGUUUUGAAAGUGCUGUCAACUUCAGUGAAUGUAGAAAAUGAAAGAAUCCCUUUUCAUUUCCCUAAGCAUGAUACUAAUUCUUCUAUUUGAAUUCACAGUCUGCAAUUUUUCUAACCAUUGAAUCAUCCUGCAGUUAACAGAGUUUGUGAAAAAAAUCACAGUGGAUUGAAUAUAAAAGUGGAAUCUUUGCUGAAGCCAUUUGUACUGCUGUGUAAAAGUGUUUUCAGUACCAGAAAUGGUGAAAUAUUAGACACUGAAAUAACAUCCUCAUUAUAAUCUUCAUUUUGGAUAGAAUUUUGGUGGCUACCAUCUUAAGAAAAAAAAAAUCAAGUUGUAGAAAGUAAGUGUACCACCUUGAAAGCUUAACGUCUACAUUUCCAGACAUUAUGAGAUAUUGAGCUCUGUCUUAAGUGGUUUAUGAGACAUCAACUGCUAUAGUCUCAAAGUAAUUGUAAUGAAGGAAGUAAGCAAGAUGGUAAUCUGGAUUAUGUGAAAGGAACAUUCUGAUAUCUCAUAGGCUGUUAGUACCGGAAGUAAAUAUAGUACAACAUUAGAAAGAUGGAGACACUGACUAGUUUGAUACCUGCAACUUCAUAGAAUACACAAGCCUUGUUAUUUAUUUAUUCUUUUUUUUGUUUUUUUCUCACAGGUGAUCUUCAAGCGAAUCAGGUGGAUCCUUUUGGUUUCCCUGUCCCUUCACAAAAAGUUGGCAAAGCAAUAAAAAGGAAAAAGGAAAAGACUGAAGUCUGCCAUGGAGUAUUAAAAGUAAUUUCAAAAAUGCUUGAAGAAAACAAACAGUUUAGAACUAGACUCAUGACUUGCAGCGAGUUUAGUGGUGAAGGCAGAGAUGUGAACCAAAACACCCAGAAUAAGGCUUCCUGCUUGGAUGUGGAUGGGGCCAUCUUUGGAUGGGUGUAGCAAGAAAAUAAAUGAAGAUUCAAUUUCAACUGUUGCUUUAAAUUAGUGUUCAUUGUUUGUCUCAUCCAACACCCGUUGGAGUCAAUGUAAAGACUGCAAAUGGCUUCACUGGGCAUUGGAUCAGGGUCCAUAUUUGUUUGAAAUAUAUCUUGGUAGCAUGUUAGUUUCAGCAGUUUAUUUUAAUAUGGGUUAAAUUAAACUGUUCAGUUAAAGAAAUCUUUGUUUUUCAAAAAUCUCUAUUAAGCAUAAUUCAUCACUUAGUCAUUGUUAAUUGUUGAAAGCUUUUGAAUUGACACAACAUUGUGACGGUUUACCAGCAAAAGAAUAGAAAUACAAAUUUUAUGCUAAAACUAUAUAUUUAUGUUGUUAUACUCUGUAGCUUGUCAAAACUGUAAACAAACAUGAAUGCAGUAAAAUAAAAUUUCACACAGGAUGUGUACAUUGAAAAUGAA
Molecule: long non-coding RNA, 1500 nt
Organism: Gavialis gangeticus (Gharial)
Lineage: Eukaryota; Metazoa; Chordata; Crocodylia; Gavialidae
Exons: 4
Source: RefSeq, a predicted model, not a curated record